Molecule: non-coding RNA, 72 nt
Organism: Phrynosoma platyrhinos (Desert horned lizard)
Lineage: Eukaryota; Metazoa; Chordata; Lepidosauria; Squamata; Phrynosomatidae
Source: the annotation of a GenBank genome assembly
GCCAGCGUAGUGUAGUGGUUUGGGUGCUGGAUUACAACUCUGGAGAUUAGGGUUCCAUUCCCCACUCAGCCA